Molecule: non-coding RNA, 901 nt
Organism: Pelobates cultripes (western spadefoot toad)
Lineage: Eukaryota; Metazoa; Chordata; Amphibia; Anura; Pelobatidae
Source: the annotation of a GenBank genome assembly
GCAAUUACCCUGGAGGCAUACCGGCAGCGGUUCCGAGAAAGCCGAAAGACAGAGAAAGAUACUCACAUGGAGUGGGCACACCGCUUAACUAGGGCGGGCAAAGGUUGGGUGCAAGCCGCACAAGCAACCACAGUGGAGGACAUGCUACAAUUACUGCUACUGGAGCAAUUCUUCCAGGGGUUAACCCCGGAUUUACAAAACUGGCUGAGGGAUCGGAAACCGCGCAUCUUAACUGACGCCGCCAGGUGGGCAGACGAGUACCAACAUGCCAGGAGGGCACAGCGGGCACAGGCACGGUCCAUCUUGGGAGCUGCUAACCCACCUCCCACCAUUAACCCCACCCCAGCACUGCGUCCGGGUGGUGGGAACUACCAAACCCCUCCACGGUACAACAAUGCCCGAUCUUUCAUCAGGUGCUACACGUGUAACCAGCAGGGCCACAUGCAGAGAGACUGUCCCAGAAACAGAAACCGCUCCACGUGGAAUACUCCAACUAAUUCCCUUGCAAACCGGGCAGCAGUACACUGCUACCAGAGUGAGCCUCGACAACCUUUCUUCGGGACCCGGUCUAAUGAAGAAUCUUUGGGCACCCUCCACGAGGUUAACCCAGUACAAGCAGCUGCAGACAACCGACAGGGACACCGCCAAGGGUUACACGUAGAGGGAAAACGCCUUCAGGGUCUGCGCGAUUCUGGGGCCACCAUAACCCUGGUUCGCAAUCACCUAGUCCCCAAGCACCAGCUCACUGGAGAAUAUGUGGCAGUCCGGGUGGCAGGGGGAGCGAUUUACAAAAUUCCCACUGCUAAAGUACAUUUGGAUUGGGGAGCGGGGUCGGGGAAUGUGGAAGUGGGCCUCAUGCAGGACUUACCAGCUGAUGUCAUCCUGGGUAACGACUUGGGGG